CCUACGGGAGGCAGCAGUAGGGAAUCUUCCACAAUGGGCGCAAGCCUGAUGGAGCAACACCGCGUGAGUGAAGAAGGGUUUCGGCUCGUAAAGCUCUGUUGUUGGAGAAGAACGUGCGUGAGAGUAACUGUUCACGCAGUGACGGUAUCCAACCAGAAAGUCACGGCUAACUACGUGCCAGCAGCCGCGGUAAUACGUAGGUGGCAAGCGUUAUCCGGAUUUAUUGGGCGUAAAGCGAGCGCAGGCGGUUGCUUAGGUCUGAUGUGAAAGCCUUCGGCUUAACCGAAGAAGUGCAUCGGAAACCGGGGAACUUGAGUGCAGAAGAGGCCAGUGGAACUCGAUGUGUAGCGGUGGAAUGCGUAGAUAUAUGGAAGAACACCAGUGGCGAAGGCGGCUGUCUGGUCUGCAACUGACGCUGAGGCUCGAAAGCAUGGGUAGCGAACAGGAUUAGAUACCCGUGUAGUC
Molecule: ribosomal RNA, 465 nt
Filed under: uncultured bacterium
Lineage: Bacteria
Description: partial 16S ribosomal RNA
Rfam family: Bacterial small subunit ribosomal RNA
Source: RNAcentral